GCGUGUCCUGGUUGGAGUUAGGCUGAUGCUGCUAUCAGUUAAUACACACUGGGCUUGUAUGGUGUGUGGUGGCUGGGAUUUUUCUCUAUUUGUUCUGUGGAUUAUAUGGAGUGAGGGUGGACUCCUAGCCUGAUCUGCAACUUCAGUGGACACACACACCGAAUGGGGGAUAUGCUGGAGCGGAGACCCUAAAUGGGCAGCAGUGGACAAAGAAGACAUUACCAGAGAGAGAAAAUGGAAAAGAAACAGCAGAGGGAGAAGAAAGCAAUAGAGAGAGAAGAGGGAGAAGAAACCCCAAAGGGAGAAGACCGGAGAUAGAAGACACAAUUUUUAAUAAAGGAAUUGUCAAAAACCA
Molecule: long non-coding RNA, 355 nt
Organism: Rana temporaria (common frog)
Lineage: Eukaryota; Metazoa; Chordata; Amphibia; Anura; Ranidae
Exons: 2
Source: RefSeq, a predicted model, not a curated record